UACGUAGGGCGCGAGCGUUGUCCGGAAUUAUUGGGCGUAAAGAGCUCGUAGGCGGCUUGUCGCGUCUGCUGUGAAAACGCGGGGCUUAACUCCGCGCUUGCAGUGGGUACGGGCAGGCUUGAGUGUAGUAGGGGAGACUGGAAUUCCUGGUGUAGCGGUGGAAUGCGCAGAUAUCAGGAGGAACACCGAUGGCGAAGGCAGGUCUCUGGGCUAUUACUGACGCUGAGGAGCGAAAGCAUGGGGAGCGAACAGG
Molecule: ribosomal RNA, 253 nt
Filed under: uncultured bacterium
Lineage: Bacteria
Description: partial 16S ribosomal RNA
Rfam family: Bacterial small subunit ribosomal RNA
Source: RNAcentral